This 274-nucleotide ribosomal RNA is filed under the name uncultured bacterium. Its description in RNAcentral is "partial 16S ribosomal RNA". It matches the Rfam family "Bacterial small subunit ribosomal RNA", at positions 523 to 796 of the family's 1533-position model. The record is from RNAcentral.
AUACAGAGGGUGCAAGCGUUAAUCGGAAUCACUGGGCGUAAAGCGCGCGUAGGCGGUUUAAUCAGUCGGAUGUGAAAGCCCCGGGCUCAACCUGGGAACUGCAUUCGAUACUGUUAAGCUAGAGUAUGGUAGAGGGAAGUGGAAUUCCAGGUGUAGCGGUGAAAUGCGUAGAUAUCUGGAGGAACAUCAGUGGCGAAGGCGACUUCCUGGACCAAUACUGACGCUGAGGUGCGAAAGCGUGGGGAGCAAACAGGAUUAGAAACCCUGGUAGUCC